UCUUAUCAAGAGAGGUUGAGGGAAUGGCCCGAUGAAGCCUCAGCAACCUUCAAUGCUUUUACGCGUUGAAAAGGUGCUAAGUCCUGCAAGUUAUGGGAUCCAUAACUUGAAAGAUAAGA
RNAcentral lists this non-coding RNA (119 nucleotides) under Heyndrickxia coagulans. RNAcentral describes it as "SAM riboswitch (S box leader)". It matches the Rfam family "SAM riboswitch aptamer (S box leader)". Rfam says of the family: The SAM riboswitch is found upstream of a number of genes which code for proteins involved in methionine or cysteine biosynthesis in Gram-positive bacteria. Lineage: Bacteria; Bacillati; Bacillota; Bacilli; Caryophanales; Bacillaceae. The record is from RNAcentral.